This is a ribosomal RNA of 583 nucleotides. The stretch from base 205 to 358 matches the Rfam family "5.8S ribosomal RNA".
AAAGUCGUAACAAGGUCUCCGUUGGUGAACCAGCGGAGGGAUCAUUACCGAGUGUANAAACUCCCAAACCAUUGUGAACCUACCACUGUUGCUUCGGCGGCCUCGCCCCGGGCGCGUUCGCGCGGCCCGGACCCAGGCGUCCGCCGGAGGCUCCAAACUCUUGUCUUUUAGUGUAUUUCUGAGUGGCAUAAGCAAAUAAAUCAAAACUUUCAGCAACGGAUCUCUUGGUUCUGGCAUCGAUGAAGAACGCAGCAAAAUGCGAUAAGUAAUGUGAAUUGCAGAAUUCAGUGAAUCAUCGAAUCUUUGAACGCACAUUGCGCCCGCCAGUAUUCUGGCGGGCAUGCCUGUCUGAGCGUCAUUUCAACCCUCAGGACCCGUUCGCGGGACCUGGCGUUGGGGAUCAGCCUGCCCCUGGCGGCGGCUGGCCCUGAAAUCCAGUGGCGGUUCCCUCGCGAACUCCUCCGUGCAGUAAUUAAACCUCUCGCGGCAGGAUAGCGGUUGAACCACGCCGUUAAACCCCCCACUUCUCAAGGUUGACCUCAGAUCAGGUAGGAAUACCCGCUGAACUUAAGCAUAUCAAUAA